AAGAAAAGAAGUGUCAAUUUUAAGCUGCUAACUUUAAUUUUUAGCGGUUAAAUUCCGUUAUUUUCUUU
Molecule: transfer RNA, 68 nt
Filed under: Cryptopygus antarcticus travei
Lineage: Eukaryota; Metazoa; Arthropoda; Collembola; Entomobryomorpha; Isotomidae
Description: tRNA-Ser
Source: RNAcentral